UACGUAGGGUGCAAGCGUUAAUCGGAAUUACUGGGCGUAAAGCGUGCGCAGGCGGUUUUGUAAGUCUGAUGUGAAAUCCCCGGGCUCAACCUGGGAAUUGCGUUGGAGACUGCAAGGCUAGAAUCUGGCAGAGGGGGGUAGAAUUCCACGUGUAGCAGUGAAAUGCGUAGAGAUGUGGAGGAACACCGAUGGCGAAGGCAGCCCCCUGGGUCAAGAUUGACGCUCAUGCACGAAAGCGUGGGGAGCAAACCGG
RNAcentral lists this ribosomal RNA (253 nucleotides) under uncultured bacterium. Its description in RNAcentral is "partial 16S ribosomal RNA". It matches the Rfam family "Bacterial small subunit ribosomal RNA", at positions 524 to 776 of the family's 1533-position model. The record is from RNAcentral.